This 253-nucleotide ribosomal RNA is filed under the name uncultured bacterium. Its description in RNAcentral is "partial 16S ribosomal RNA". It matches the Rfam family "Bacterial small subunit ribosomal RNA", at positions 524 to 776 of the family's 1533-position model. The record is from RNAcentral.
UACAGAGGUCCCAAGCGUUGUUCGGAUUCACUGGUCGUAAAGGGUGCGUAGGUGGUGAGGUAAGUCUGAUGUGAAAUCUCCGAGCUCAACUCGGAAAUGGCAUUGGAAACUACUUGGCUAGAGGAGUGGAGGGGGGACUGGAAUUCUCGGUGUAGCAGUGAAAUGCGUAGAGAUCGAGAGGAACACCAGUGGCGAAGGCGAGUCCCUGGACACUUCCUGACGCUGAGGCACGAAAGCUAGGGGAGCAAACAGG